GACGAACGCUGGCGGCGUGCUUAACACAUGCAAGUCGAACGGAAAGGCCCUGCUUGCAGGGUACUCGAGUGGCGAACGGGUGAGUAACACGUGGGUGAUCUGCCCUGCACUUCGGGAUAAGCCUGGGAAACUGGGUCUAAUACCGGAUAGGAGCCAUUUUUAGUGUGAUGGUUGGAAAGUUUUUUCGGUGUAGGAUGAGCUCGCGGCCUAUCAGCUUGUUGGUGGGGUAAUGGCCUACCAAGGCGGCGACGGGUAGCCGGCCUGAGAGGGUGGACGGCCACAUUGGGACUGAGAUACGGCCCAGACUCCUACGGGAGGCAGCAGUGGGGAAUAUUGCACAAUGGGCGCAAGCCUGAUGCAGCGACGCCGCGUGGGGGAUGACGGCCUUCGGGUUGUAAACUCCUUUCGCUAGGGACGAAGCUGUUUGUGACGGUACCUAGAUAAGAAGCACCGGCUAACUACGUG
Molecule: ribosomal RNA, 465 nt
Filed under: uncultured bacterium
Lineage: Bacteria
Description: partial 16S ribosomal RNA
Rfam family: Bacterial small subunit ribosomal RNA
Source: RNAcentral